GACGUAGGGUCCGAGCGUUGUCCGGAGUUAUUGGGCGUAAAGAGCGUGUAGGCGGUUCGGUAAGUCUGUCGUGAAAUCCUGAGGCUCAACCUCGGGCGUGCGAUGGAUACUGCCGGGCUAGAGGGUGGUAGAGGCGAGUGGAAUUCCCGGUGUAGCGGUGAAAUGCGCAGAUAUCAGGAGGAACACCGAUGGCGAAGGCAGGUCUCUGGGCCACUACUGACGCUGAGAAGCGAAAGCAUGGGGAGCGAACAGG
Molecule: ribosomal RNA, 253 nt
Filed under: uncultured bacterium
Lineage: Bacteria
Description: partial 16S ribosomal RNA
Rfam family: Bacterial small subunit ribosomal RNA
Source: RNAcentral